UUGAAAGGGAAACGAUUGAAGUAAGCCAUGCCGGUGGGAACCAACUUAGGGGAACUUCGGGGUCCCUUCUUUCCCUUGCCAGGUAAACUUCGUUUUUAAAUUCCAUAAAUUAAUGGGGGGAAGGUAGCCCCUUCGGAAUUUUAUUAGCCCUUAAAAGAUUGAAUUUUGGGGGCCAAGGAUUCCAACGGAUAUUCUUCGGGCCUACCCGCCUGACCUCUAAUGGGUGUUGGGUUCCGGAUACCAUCCUGACCGUGACCUAAUUCCGGGUUAAAAGGUAAGAGUGGGCUUAAAUUCGUUAAGGAUGUUGACGUA
RNAcentral lists this ribosomal RNA (312 nucleotides) under uncultured Glomeromycotina. Its description in RNAcentral is "LSU rRNA". Lineage: Eukaryota; Fungi; Glomeromycota. The record is from RNAcentral.